RNAcentral lists this ribosomal RNA (447 nucleotides) under uncultured bacterium. Its description in RNAcentral is "bacterial SSU rRNA". It matches the Rfam family "Bacterial small subunit ribosomal RNA", at positions 355 to 796 of the family's 1533-position model. The record is from RNAcentral.
UCUAGAGGCUUCGGCAAUGGGGGAAACCCUGACCGAGCGACGCCGCGUGUGGGAUUGAAGGCCUUCGGGUCGUAAACCACUGUCAGGAGGGAAGAAUGCCCUGAUGGCGAAUCAGGGAGAGACGGUACCUCCAGAGGAAGCCCCGGCUAACUCCGUGCCAGCAGCCGCGGUAAUACGGAGGGGGCAAGCGUUGUUCGGAUUUACUGGGCGUAAAGGGUCCGUAGGCGGUUGCAUAAGUCUGGCGUGAAAUCUUCACCGCUCAACGGGAAGAGGCCGCUGGAAACUGCGCAACUUGAGUAUGGUAGAGGCAAGCGGAAUUCCUGGUGUAGCGGUGGAAUGUGUAGAUAUCAGGAAGAACAUCUGUGGCGAAGGCGGCUUGCUGGGCCAUUACUGACGCUGAGGGACGAAAGCGUGGGGAGCAAACGGGAUUAGAUACCCGCGUAGUCC